UGGUGGAGCGAUUUGUCUGGUCAAUUCCGAUAACGAACGAGACUCUAGCCUACUAAAUAGUUCGGGGACCCCCACAAAGGGGCCCCGCUUCAACUUCUUAGAGGGAGAGGUGGCGUUUAGCCACACGAGAUUGAGCAAUAACA
This 143-nucleotide ribosomal RNA is filed under the name uncultured eukaryote. Its description in RNAcentral is "partial 18S ribosomal RNA". It matches the Rfam family "Eukaryotic small subunit ribosomal RNA", at positions 1299 to 1458 of the family's 1831-position model. The record is from RNAcentral.